AGACCCAUCACCCCACCCCCUCAGGUCAUCUUCUUCGAACCACCCCAUCCCCAAACGAUUGUCCUUGAUCUAUUCAACAAUCGACGAACCAGACCACUCUUCAACUCCACCUUUCAUCAUAUCGGCAACCAAACAAGCCCAGACCCCGUUGCAGCCGCUCCCUCUACACUCAAACUCAACGACCCCUGAAACUCGUCUUCUUUGGCGAGGCCAGCCCCACCAGCUCCUACAUUCACCAGGUCUCGCCAGAAAUGGCAAUCAAUGGUGAUGAAAGGCCAUGGACAUGACUGAAACCUUCGUUAAUCAUUUGAGUUUUCCGGCAAGGCAUUUGGUUUUCGAGUCGAAGUCCUAGCCGCCGAUUCAAGGUACUAUUUGAAGUCCGAUUCAGUUGUUGCACGUGUUUUGUCUUCGUCGCUGGGUCUUGCGCACAGUUCAGUUCGAACCCAUCUUUGUAAUCAUUGAUUUUACUCGUUUAAAAGAAGCCAUCUCAGGUUCAAUAUCUUUCUCUUUUUUACAUCUGUUUGAUUGUCGAUUGGGAAAAUGUGAUAAGAGUUAUGCUAAUCCAUCUAUAAACAUAGGUCUGUGAGUAAUUUCAGUUGAGGUUGGAUUCAGAGUUAGCAUUUAUUCUCGAUUCAUGUUUGAAAAUUGUAUUUGAUAUGUCAUUUUGCUAUUUGGAAUCCUAUAUUCACUGUCCUGAUUUGCCUCGAGCACGUUCAGAUAACAAAAGGCUAAUUUGAAUGUUCGUUUCCUAUGUCUUGGAUGCCUUUAGCUGUUUAUGGUGUUGAAGUAUCUCUUGGGAUUUAAGUUUUCUCGAGUUGAAAUGGACGAUUUGUCCGGCUUCAGGAUUUGUUUGAAUAAGUCUGAACCAGCGACGCAUAUUCUCAUGGUUUUCUGUUUGGUUCUCUGUUUGAUUCUCAUCAUGCCUAAUUGUUCUAUUCUUUUCUUUGGGAUAUGCAUAACAGUUUGUGUAGGGGAGUGUAGAGGGUCUGAACUAAUUUGGGGACAUUUAUUUGUCUGAAAGAAUUUAAAUCUCAACUAUGUUUGAAAUUAAUUAGGAAGCCUUUAAGAUAGCCUAAGAAUUGUUUAAUAAAAGGUGUAUCUCACCUACUUAAGAAGUUGCUAGCACAUGGUAGGAUCAGUCUAGGGAUUAAUUUAAUAAAAAGGGGAUCAACAAUGCAAAGGACACCCUGUUCCAUACUUUUAAGAGUUGGAAAGUAAGACAACAUGGGGGGAACAUUUUAAAAAGCUUAAAUAAUACAAUUAUGAAGAAAAGAUGAGCUGGAAAGGGGGGAGGCUGGAAGUUUAAAAAGAGAGAGCAAUAGAGAGGAAGGGGGAAGCAAUCUAAAGCCGAAAGACACAUUUUUUAUAACGAGAGUAUGAGAAAUCAGAUUUCUGAAAUAUAAAGGGCAAAAAAAAAAAUUACUGUUAUUCCGAUUGCAUUUUUCUUGGCUUCUUCAUUCUGAAAACAAUUCUGAACCAUCCUGGGAACUUGAAAUGUGUUUAUCUUGGGUUAGAGAAGGUUUUUAAUCUGAGCUUUUAAAAGGUUUACUGCUCCAUUGAUUUGGAAUCGAAUUCCUUGGUUUUAAUUGUGAGCACGUGAUUUUUGCCCUAUAUGAGAAUUACUCCCAAAAAAUUCAAAAUAAAUAAUUUUCCUUUGUGUGCAAUUUUUGAAUUUUUGUGACAUUUUUUGAUAAUUAUUUGUAUUUUGUCUGUACAUGUUAAUGUGUUAAAUUAAUAAAAAAUCAUAAAAAUAUGUCGCAUCUGCAUUUGAUAUUUAAUUAAGUUUGUUUUACAAAAUGAAAAAAUCAUAAAAAUAAUGUAUGUUGCAUUUUUAGCAUUUAAUGUCCAAAUUGUGUGAUUUUAUCGUUAAUCGCUAUUUAAUUGUGUGUUAAUUGCUAUUAAGAGUUAAUUAGUAUUUCCAGAUAAUUUUGGGUUUUAUAAUUUAAUCUUACCAUUUUUUAGCUAUAUUAUUUAGGAAAUUGAAUAAAUAGAGAAGAACAAAAAUGGAAGAAGGCCGGAUUGGGCCUUUUCUUCAAUUUU
Molecule: long non-coding RNA, 2040 nt
Filed under: Nicotiana tabacum (common tobacco)
Lineage: Eukaryota; Viridiplantae; Streptophyta; Magnoliopsida; Solanales; Solanaceae
Description: long non-coding RNA (NTAB_LNC004162)
Source: RNAcentral